GGUAAUGUUAGGAGCCGGGCCUGGGGGGAGGGGGUCAUAAGGUCACAAGGGAUUAAUAGUUCAUAAGAGAGACCUCAAAUAGCUGCCUUCCCCUCCUCCUUUUGCCACGUGAGAACUCCAAAAAGCCUCUUGCCGUGAAGGAGAUGCAAAGUCCACCUUGAUCUUCAGCCUUCGGGUCUGAGAGAUAACUGUCUGUACAUUCGCCACCCUGUUUAUGGCUUGGAGUUAGAGCAGCCUAGAUGAACUCAGUUUCCGAGAGUCUGGGGCACCUGGUGGAUCUGGAUGUGGGAGGAAAAAAGAAUCACUCAACCUUCAGUCCCUAGCGCGCAAAGGUCUGCCCUCAGUGUACUGCAAGGCUGGGAUGUUUCAAUGAUGCCCGAGGUGAGAGCAGACUGGCAUAGCGGCUACACCUGGGGGAUUCCCAGUUCUUUCUGGACACUUGAUGUCUCAAGUUCCAAGGCCAGCUCAUCUGAGAAGGGGACCCUUCUCUGAGUCCCACACUGAGGUAGGCUCCUGCAGCCUGGAAGCAUGCAAAUCAACAGAAGAACAGUUUCGUCAGAUAAGACCUGCAACGAACUUGGAAAGCCUGCUUUCAAGUUCUCACAGCCUUGACCUCCCUCACGUGUGGUCAAGGUGGAAUGCAGUGUUGGUCCUUGGAGAGGUCAAUAGCAACUGAUCCCCUCCCCCUUCCCCCAUGAGAGUAGCAGAGAAACCCAUCUUCAUACCCCCCAAAAGACUCAUUCAGAUCUUUGCCCCCAACUCUGUAGAACCGUAUCUGGAUGACCUCAGUGUUGACUUCCGUGACGUGGUUCAGUACUUAUUUUUAAAUCUUAGAAAGCCUCAAAAAAUAUGGAGCCAUAAAAAAGUGUCCAGGUAUUAGAUCAAGCUCUGACAUUUAAAUGAAUGUGCUGCUUGUAUCUUUGUGUUAAAGCAACAUUUUAAGCAGAAUGUUUUGUGGUCUCCUCAUCAAUAUAUGUACUCCUGUGUGCAUGAUUGGUCUCAGAAACAGGCAAACCUGUUAGUAGGAACCAAUCUUUACAUAUAAGAGGGCAAAAGUGGAGGGCUAUCUUUUAUUUCUUAAUGUUUAUCUUAUAAACAACUUCUGCCUUCCUUGUUGCUUAUAAUGGCACUGUUUGCCCUGUGGCUCAGGUUAUAUGUAGAAGUUAAGAUGGACCAUAGUUGGGGGGAGGUACGUUUCUCCCAUCGGAACCCAAUUCUCGGUCACUGAGGCCACGGGUCCCUGCCAGCUUGUUACAAAGCAGAGUUGAAUAUCGGCAAGGCGCCAUGCUUUGGGGGACUUGGGAGAGACAGGUUAUGAAGCUCUCCCCUUCCUAGUACCAAGAUCGUCCUCUACUUUGUAAUUCUCCCAUGAACACUGGCAGGGCCGGAUGAGAGUCUAUGGGAACACGAGCUUACAGCAAAGCCAGCACAAGAAACACUUAGGCUCCAAGACAGAGCCGCCAGCCAAUUACCACCUUCUUUGCACCUGUGCCUGUUGCAGACAUUUUUAUCUUUCUUGCCGUGCUUCAUUGACCAAUGGAUUUUUUUUCCCCAGCUUUGCACUUUUUUUUAUUACUAUUAUUUUCAUCUUCAUCAUUACCUCCCUGCCUCCGAUGGCAUUUAGACAUGAACAGCCUAUGAACCUUCGAGCCCGAUUGUGCCACGACAAAAAUAUUGUCGUUUACAUUCUGUGCCAAAGUAUUAUAUAAAAACACAUCAACGAGAAGGAAAUUUAGGAAGCUGGGAGUAAAGAUAUAUAGUCAGCAAAGUAUAUAACUUCUGGCAUAUUACUGCUUAAUCCUAACAUAAUUAUUCUCAUCCUUUUAUUUGAUUAACUUCUAAUGGUUCCUCUUGGUGUUAAAGGUCCCACUCUGAUCAUUUGAUUUUAGUGUCUGCCGUAAUUACCGAUAAUGUUCUUUGCAAGACAAUUUAAUGAUAACCGCAUAAUGGCCUAUAUGAAGAAAGCUGCAGGGUUUCAAAGCUUUUGAGUAAUAUAAAAUACAUUAGACUAACACAAGCUAUCAACAUGACAAGGAAUGUUUGAUUUACACUCAGGACUGUGUUAUAGUGCCGUGGAAUUUUUUUUCCCUUUGCCUUUUCCUUUUGCUUUUUUUUUUUUUUUCCUUUCUGCAGCCGUUUACAACAAAUGACAGAACAGUUGGACAAUCUGCAACUCGCUGAUUACAAAAAAAAAAAAAAAAAAAAAAAGCAAAAACAAUGUAUCGUGAAGUUUGGAAUGCGGCAGUGGCAGCCAGAGGAUCUCUGGUAGAGGAGCCUCCUUAGAGUAGAACUAAGACAAGAGCCAGAGUCUGACUCCUCCAGGGAUGGAUACCAAAUGGCCUCUCCUGCCAAACCAAAUAGGUAGCUCAGCUAAAAAUUGACAAACUGAUUCUUCUAGCUCAUCUCCGUACACUUCAGAUUCCAGCCGCUCAAAGCUCCCACCCUAAUCCUUCUUCUUGGAUUAAAUUCUUGGAGCUGCAGGCUCCUCUCAGGGUGGCCUGCCUCAGUCAAACAACUACUUUUAGGAUCAAAAUGGAAAUAAUUUGUUUUCCAUUUCUCCUUCUCACCUCCUAAAGUGAGCAAACAGAAAACAAUCAACAGUUUGGUCCAAACCCUGAUGGCAAAUGGAACAGACCCUCUCUUCUCGCUUGCCCCCGGCCAAUGCCCCUGCGCCUUAGGCAUUCUGCACUUGGGAGCCUGGCAUAUGUGUCUUUUCUACUGGAAAUAAAGCGAUCACUCACU
Molecule: non-coding RNA, 2742 nt
Organism: Rattus norvegicus (Norway rat)
Lineage: Eukaryota; Metazoa; Chordata; Mammalia; Rodentia; Muridae
Source: RefSeq, a predicted model, not a curated record